RNAcentral lists this transfer RNA (67 nucleotides) under Scarelus sp. UPOL 000583. RNAcentral describes it as "tRNA-Glu". Lineage: Eukaryota; Metazoa; Arthropoda; Insecta; Coleoptera; Lycidae. The record is from RNAcentral.
AUUUCUUUAGUAUAGUUUAAGAAAAACCUUACAUUUUCAUUGUAAAAUUAAUUCAUUUUUUACUAAU